GACGAACGCUGGCGGCGUGCUUAACACAUGCAAGUCGAACGGCAAGGCCCUGCUUUUUUGGGCUGCUCGAGUGGCGAACGGGUGCGUAACACGUGAGUAACCUGCCCUUGACUUUGGGAUAACUUCAGGAAACUGGGGCUAAUACCGUAUAGGAUCUCCUGCUGCAUGGUGGGGGUUGGAAAGUUUCGGCGGUUGGGGAUGGACUCGCGGCUUAUGAGCUUGUUGGUGGGGUAGUGGCUUACCAAGGGUUUGACGGGUAGCCGGCCUGAGAGGGUGACCGGCGACAUGGGGCCUGAGAGACGGCCCAGAGGCCUAUGGGAGGCAGCAGGGGGGAAUAUUACACAAUGGGCGGAAGCCGGAUGCAGCAACGCCGCGUGUGGGAAGACGGCCUGCGGGUUGUAAACCGCUGUCGCCUGUGACGAAGCGUGAGUGACGGUAAUGAGUAAAGAAGCACCGGCUAACUACGUG
This 468-nucleotide ribosomal RNA is filed under the name uncultured bacterium. Its description in RNAcentral is "partial 16S ribosomal RNA". It matches the Rfam family "Bacterial small subunit ribosomal RNA", at positions 28 to 507 of the family's 1533-position model. The record is from RNAcentral.